UCUCCGUAGGUGAACCUGCGGAGGGAUCAUUACAGAGUUCAUGCCCUACCGGGUAGAUCUCCCACCCUAUGUUAUUAUUACUUUGUUGCUUUGGCGGGCCGUUAGGCUCCGGCCCGACUACCGGCCCCGGCUGGUAAGCGCCCGCCGGAGGACCCAAAACCCUGAAUAUUAGUGUCGUCUGAGUACUAUAUAAUAGUUAAAACUUUCAACAACGGAUCUCUUGGUUCUC
Molecule: unclassified non-coding RNA, 229 nt
Filed under: plant metagenome
Description: partial contains small subunit ribosomal RNA, internal transcribed spacer 1, and 5.8S ribosomal RNA
Source: RNAcentral